RNAcentral lists this ribosomal RNA (497 nucleotides) under uncultured bacterium. RNAcentral describes it as "partial 16S ribosomal RNA". It matches the Rfam family "Bacterial small subunit ribosomal RNA", at positions 28 to 507 of the family's 1533-position model. The record is from RNAcentral.
GAUGAACGCUGGCGGCGUGCCUAAUACAUGCAAGUCGAGCGAACAGAUGAGGAGCUUGCUCCUCUGACGUUAGCGGCGGACGGGUGAGUAACACGUGGAUAACCUACCUAUAAGACUGGGAUAACUUCGGGAAACCGGAGCUAAUACCGGAUAAUAUAUUGAACCGCAUGGUUCAAUAGUGAAAGACGGUUUUGCUGUCACUUAUAGAUGGAUCCGCGCCGCAUUAGCUAGUUGGUAAGGUAACGGCUUACCAAGGCAACGAUGCGUAGCCGAACUGAGAGGGGGGUCGGCCACACUGGAACUUAGACCGGGUCCAGGCGCCUAAGGGAGGCCGCAGGAGGGAAUCUUACGCAAGGGGGGGAAGCCUGACGGAGCAACGCCGAGUGAGUGAUGAAGGUCUUCGGAUCGUAAAACUCUGUUAUUAGGGAAGAACAAAUGUGUAAGUAACUAUGCACGUCUUGACGGUACCUAAUCAGAAAGCCACGGCUAACUACGUG